UCUUGCAACAAACAUAUAAGAGGUCCCGCCUGCCCUGUGACUUUUAGUUUAACGGCCGCGGUAUUUUGACCGUGCGAAGGUAGCGUAAUCACUUGUCUUUUAAAUGGAGACCUGUAUGAAUGGCACAACGAGGGCUAAACUGUCUCCCUUUCCCAGUCAAUGAAAUUGAUCUCCCUGUGCAGAAGCAGGGAUAUGAACAUAAGACGAGAAGACCCUAUGGAGCUUCAGACACAAGGCAGCCCAUGUAAGUACCUUAAUUAACAGAAUAAACAAAAUGGCCCCUGCCCUUUGUCUUUGGUUGGGGCGACCGCGGAGAAACAAAAAUCCUCCACGUGGAAUAAGGCCUUCUCCUUUAAAACCAGAGCCACAGCUCUAGUUAACAGAACAUCUGACCCACAAGAUCCGGCAAAGCCGAUCAACGGACCGAGUUACCCUAGGGAUAACAGCGCAAUCCCCUUUUAGAGCCCAUAUCGACAAGGGGGUUUACGACCUCGAUGUUGGAUCAGGACAUCCUAAUGGUGCAGCCGCUAUUAAGGGUUCGUUUGUUCAACGAUUAAAGUCC
Molecule: ribosomal RNA, 562 nt
Filed under: Eutaeniichthys gilli
Lineage: Eukaryota; Metazoa; Chordata; Actinopteri; Gobiiformes; Gobiidae
Description: partial 16S rRNA
Rfam family: Bacterial large subunit ribosomal RNA
Source: RNAcentral